GUAGGUGGCAAGCGUUGUCCGGAAUUAUUGGGCGUAAAGCGCGCGCAGGCGGUCCUUUAAGUCUGAUGUGAAAGCCCACGGCUCAACCGUGGAGGGUCAUUGGAAACUGGGGGACUUGAGUACAGAAGAGGAAAGCGGAAUUCCAAGUGUAGCGGUGAAAUGCGUAGAGAUUUGGAGGAACACCAGUGGCGAAGGCGGCUUUCUGGUCUGUAACUGACGCUGAGGCGCGAAAGCGUGGGGAGCAAACAGGAUUAGAUACCCUGGUAGUCCACGCCGUAAACGAUGAGUGCUAAGUGUUAGGGGGGUUUCCCGCCCCCCUUAGUGCUGCCAGCUAACGCAUUAAGCACUCCGCCUGGGGGAGUACGGCCCGCAAGGCUG
This 378-nucleotide ribosomal RNA is filed under the name uncultured organism. RNAcentral describes it as "partial 16S ribosomal RNA". It matches the Rfam family "Bacterial small subunit ribosomal RNA", at positions 527 to 896 of the family's 1533-position model. The record is from RNAcentral.